CUACGGGUGGCUCCAGUGAGGAAUUUUGCGCAAUGGGGGGAACCCUGAUGCAGCAACGCCGCGUGGAGGAUGUCGCAUUUCGGUGUGUAAACUCCUUUUAUAUGUCAAGAAAAUGACGGUAGCAUAUGAAUAAGCACCGGCUAACUCCGUGCCAGCAGCCGCGGUAAUACGGAGGGUGCAAGCGUUACUCGGAAUCACUGGGCGUAAAGGACGCGUAGGCGGGUUGGAAAGUCAGGUGUGAAAUCCUACAGCUUAACUGUAGAACUGCACUUGAAACUUCUAAUCUAGAGUAUGGGAGGGGGAGAUGGAAUUAGUGGUGUAGGGGUACCAUCCGUAGAUAUCACUAGGAAUACCUAAAGCGAAGGCGAUCUCCUGGAACAUUACUGACGCUAAGGCGUGAAAGCGUGGGGAGCAAACAGGAUUAGAUACCCUAGUAGUC
RNAcentral lists this ribosomal RNA (439 nucleotides) under uncultured bacterium. RNAcentral describes it as "partial 16S ribosomal RNA". It matches the Rfam family "Bacterial small subunit ribosomal RNA", at positions 339 to 795 of the family's 1533-position model. The record is from RNAcentral.